This 4418-nucleotide ribosomal RNA is filed under the name Triticum aestivum (bread wheat). Its description in RNAcentral is "partial small subunit ribosomal RNA". The record is from RNAcentral. Lineage: Eukaryota; Viridiplantae; Streptophyta; Magnoliopsida; Poales; Poaceae.
AAGUUCUAUUCUAUUACAAUCUUUUAGAGUUGUAGUAGCCGGAGAUUCAUUUUCAAGUUUGAACCCUAUCCUAUUAUUUAUGUUUGAGCAUGUUCUUCUUGUUUCUGUACGAGCACCUCUAAUUUAACUCUCUAAAAGCUCCCAAGCAAAAGAAGGCUUGCUGCGUCCUAAUAAAGAUUCUCCUUGUUUGCUUAUGCUUGUGUUGCUUCCUGCCUACUGCUUUGGGACAGAUAUAUGCAUGUUAGUUUGUCUCUGAUGUGUUGUAGGGCGUGCCCAGCUUUCUUAGCUUCUUACCAAUUCUUGGUUCUAGGAUCCAGUAGACUAGGUGAUCAUUUUUUAUAUAUGCCCAAACCAACGCAUGCUGCUGUAAUAUAUGUGCUUCAGAAUUGGCAGAGCACCACUUGCUGUAUACAUAUGCAAACAGUAAUUCUUGUUGCUCACCCAUAUGAGGUAUAGUUGUGGGAAUCCUGAACUGAAGUUGGGGAUUGCUGAUGUGAAAUGGCGGCGUCACGAGCCAGAUGGUCACCAUGGAGACCAUAAGCAGCCCAGCAGCAACAAUCCAACAUAUAUGCAUAAAACAAGCAUGAGCGGACACAUGCAGCAAUAAGCAUGGGAAUAGAAGUGGAUAGCCAUGGAACCUGUGGCGCGGGGAGCGCCGGUCAGCCUGGCGGACCUGUGACGUAAGCACGACGCUAGAUCAGACACACUCACGGUCAUUGGCGUGUGCGCUGGAUCGGCAGCCCUCGGCUGAUACAAGCAACUUGCAUUAUGUGGUCGCUUGGUCUAUCCAUCAACAUUAUAUCUCCUUCAUCAAUUAGUUUUCUCAUAUUUCUUAUUAUGAAGGCUAGGAACUAGGCUGAAAUACACAGAUGUUUUAGUUUUUGCUUUUCUUAAUGCAGAUGUGGAAGAUCUAAAAUCCUCUGUGAAAGAUUUUGGUUCUGCGGAAGCCAAUGAUCUGGCACUGGGACCAUAACUUCUGGAGUGAACGACUGCGGGAAUCAAAAUACAAUAUCGAUGAGGUUCUUUCUUUACAGAAAUCGCGAUUACAAUAUUAAUGAAAUUAGUUCCUGGCCAUUGCAUAUUUGCAUACUUAUUGGAAUUCGGUUUUAUCAUUAAUUGUUGAUUUAACUUUUUAGCUUUGAUGUAUGAGAAAACUAUCUGCAUUUCUUAUCUAUCAUGGAUAUGCUGAUAUAUUGCUCUACUAAAAGGAAUUGUUGGCCUAAGAUGUUAUUAUAUACGUGACAUGUUAUUGGCUAAAUAUGAUUCAUACUUUACAAACUCCUUACAGCUGGAGUAGGAUCCAAUGAACAGAUGAUGAAAAAUAAAUUAAGCACUUGCUUUGAUUUUUUCAAAUUUUUACAGAAACUGUUAGAACACACUUUUCUUUGCAAGCCGGAUACAAAGAGGAAUGUGUUAAAUAUAUGGAAGAUAAAAUUAUUUGCAAGCAAACUCUGCUUGUUUGCCAUAUUUUGCGCACCGUCUUAAAAUUAUUUGUCCAAUGGAAGGACUCUCUGCAACAUCAAUUCCAGUAUGUUGCUUUAGUUGUUCUGUGUGAUGCAAGGUAAUAUUUUUCUUGCAAUUUUUGCAUCUUUUACCUUUUCACUUCUGUUGAGAGAAACAUGUUGUUUCUUAAGAAGAUAUUGUUUAUAAGACGGAACAAUACUCACCAUAUAUGAUAUUGUUCCACCAAAUAAAUAUUUUUUGAGUGCAACUAAAAUCGUUUUCCUGCUCAUUCAUGACACUGUGGUCUGACAUAGCUGAUGGAUGUUCAGGUUUCUCUAUUAAUUGCAAUGCCUUCUAGAUGUGCUACUAUAGUGUUAUUUGUCUGUGCUUUAAUAUCCAUUCUGCAUGUGUUCUUCUGUUUAUUUUCAAGAUAUCCUGGCUCUCCGGAAUAUGCCCUGUUCAGCUGAAAGGAUGUAUUGCAAUUAUGCAGAGAGAUCGGAUUGUUCGGACUCCAGUGCCACUUUCAGUUUUCUAAUUUUUGCAGGGAUAUUGAGUGAGGGCUGGUCUAAACUUUAAGAGAAUAACUUAUUACAUUCUAGGAUCACCAACUUUUGGCGUUUGCUCGGACUAGGUAGGUAGGACCAUUAGCAAUUCUCCUGAUUUGCUUGCAAGAUUGAUUUAUGAAAAUGUCAUGGUCGUUAUAUUUCGGUUUGCUGCUAAUUUCAUUGAAUAUGUUUUGAUGGAUCCUUUUUAAGCUUUCAUCCUUUACCAUUUGUAAAAGUAACUAACACAUUCGUGAUUGAAUUUUUGAAUGGUUAAUGGGAACACUAUAGGUCUUGUUUCUCCGCUUUUUUAAUGUUCCAUAUAUUUUUCAUGUACAUACCAUAGUGUGCAUUCAACCAUCUACGAAGCUUCAUGACUGAUUAAAUGUUACAGCUGCUAAUGUUAUUGUGUUUCAUGGAUCAAGUUUUUCUUUCUAUUUCCGCAUUGACGUGUUGUUUCAAUGGUAGAGUUAGUUUUUUUUGCGGGAAUGGUAGAGUUAGUUACGACUGGUGUUUUUCUUGCGUCCCUGCCGCCCUGGCUACAGCUUGUUAUGCCAAUUGUGGCAGAGUGAAGGGAGGGAGAGACUAAAAUAAUUGUAGUUCUGAGACAUAAAUGUGUCAACAGAGCUUAUGGUUUCCACUGCGGUUUUUCUCAAAUAACCAAUAUAUGUCUGCAUUCUUAAUAUUUCUUGCUUCUAUUUGUAAUCUUAUUAUUUUCUCCAUGAUACACUUGCUUACCAAUAUGGUAUUGUGUUCAGUGUAUGUGGCCUACCGUAUCCGUGAUGUGGUGGCAGGAAGAGGCCAGUGCCACCAUUACUGUAUCCGUGUCAGGCAUGGUGGCAUGAAGAAGCAUAAAUUCAGAGUAUUGCUAUGAUGUUCUUCUCUAGCGUUGCAGGUGUAUCCGCAAAGUGUCUCAUAAUAUUUGGUUAAAGCCUGCAAUUGUUUAGGUGAUAUGAACUUCCUUUAUCUUGAAUGGAUUUGAACUCCAGCCAAAUUCAAGUGAUGAAAGGUCAGUUUUGUGCUGAUUCACAAGUUUAGAUAUCGUCCCUCCAGUGUACUUCUUGGUUGAUUAAUGAAAAAUGCUUUCUGCUCACUUCCCCUUCCUAGAUUAGUCUAUGUGUAUGAAAAGAAAAAUUCUUUUUUUGCAUAAUACUAUCGAUACCAUGGAAUAGUUUUUAUGAACGAUCCUCUUUAGCUAACAUUUAAUCAAGGUUACCUAAAGAGAAUGAUAUCACUUCAUAAAAACCAUUCAUGAAGAGAAUCAUUCAUAAAAAUAAUUCUCUUUAUGAUAGUAUUAUACAGAAAAAGCUAACAUUUGUAUAAGGAGAAUCAUUCUCUUUAGCUAACAUUUAAUCAUGGUAUUUGGUGGAACUGGCUGUGGAGUAUUAGGUAGAUUGUGAUAUGGUGAAUUAUUUGUUAGACACGACAUUACGAGCUCCUCCUUUGCAGCAGUACAUGGAUUUUUUUCUACAUAAAUCUCAUGAGUCCAUUAUGCCUUACGUAUCUGAACCUAUGAUUCUAGAGAAGAUAUAAUAUACUUCUGGAUUACACAAGGUAAAAUCCUCUUUCACUAACCCUUUCAACUUUCAAAUAUUGUCAGUUGGGGCUCACAAAACAGAUUGAGUUGAUUUUGUUGUUCUUUUGUGCUAUCUGGACAGAGCUUAUUGUUUUAUUCCAUUCUUAGUCUACUGAUGGUAAAUGAUAUAUGGAAAAUCAACAUUUCAAGGUAAAUAAAAUGCCCCCAGUAUGUUUCUGUUCACAUGAUUACUGGCUCAUGUUUCUUUUAUGUGAUGCCAGGCUACUGUUUGAUGUUCUCUUUGUUGCUCUCACUUUGGUUAUAUACUACUAAAACUUCGUAUAAUUUUCAUUUAGAUUUGGUGUUGUUAGCAUUAGACGGUGUGCAUCAAAUAUGAAAGUAGGGCCAAGCAUGAAAGGCAAGGUGAAGGAAGGUGCCUGUGUGGUUCUUCUGCAGCUCGGAGCGAGGAUUGCUGUGUCCAACCUGCAAAAGAAUGCCAAGAAGUCCUUGGAGACGUAAGCCACGGCACAUAUUUCUGCCAUGAUUUCCUUCGGCUGGAUUUAACGGAUUUAGGUGUUGAAAAAUUAUGGGUUGUGGAUGCAGGAUUAAGGACAUGUACCUGCACUGCAACGAGAGAUCUGGGCUGCUUCUUUGUGGCUUCCAAACUUGAAAUGUUUGUUUGGAAGUUAGUUUAGUUUUUUGUUGUGGAUUCACACCUUCUCACAUGUACCAUCCGCUUAGACCUUUAGAUUUCCAAAGAAAAUAAAUGAAGAUAUGGUGGUAUGGUUUCAUUUGUACAACUUAAAGCCUUUCAUGCUUUACAUUUUCUCUGAAAUUUGCUCUUGAAGAAUCAUGUAUCUAUGUUAGAUCCGGUGAGAAAAGGCAGCUUCAAAGCAGAGGAUUCGGGAGUGUUGGCC